ACUAUUAAAGAAAUAACAUGACAUACUAUUUCAAUAUACUCCAUAAUCACCAUAACAACUGAGUAUUAUUUCGAAAGCAUACAACCAUAUACACAAUAGAAAAACAUCUACUUGCCAUAAUCAUCAUCAACAAUCUUUAGAACAUACACACAAAAACUUACCACGACGUCCCAUACCGCCGGGAAGUACACGAAAGAGAGCAAAACAAAGAACUCAUCACGGCGUUCCAUACCACCGGAGAGUACACAAAAGAAUACAACUAAUAAUACCAUAAAGCACAACUACUCCAUCAAUUUAUCAAAAACCGUGGGUAGCACAACCCCGUCAUGACUCAUUACCGAAAUCCACUUCCAAGUACCCAUACCAUAAUUCAACAUAAAGAAAGCAACAUUGUCAUAGCAUAGCAUGUAAUCAUUAGUUCUAUAAUUCAUUGAUAAAUACCGCAAGGUCCAUACUAAUUAACCUUAUUUUUUUCAAAAGUCGAAAGAUUACAAGUCUUAAAAUCACUAGUCAUCAAACUGGAGAAAAAAACUACAAGUCACCCAUAGUAUAGGUUAUUCAACUAUCAUAAGGCCAUUCUUUAAUUAGCAUCAUCAUGACAUGAGUUAUCAAUUAAGGCAUCUCAACUUCACAUAUUAGGAGAUAAUUUAACUAUCCAUCAUGCAAUACUAGAUCUAUCAUCACCAAGCAUGUCACCACCUUAAGGAUUAAUUUCCAUAUUUUAAUCGAGUAAAGUCCACCAACUAGUUUACUAGGCUUCUAGGUUCCAAAUAAUAAUCAUAUAUUUUAGAAGUAGCUAAUUAUAACAUAAGCCACCUUACUAGGCAAUAUUUCAUAAUAUAACCUCUUAUUCAAGUCAAGUAUAUAUAUUAGGUUAGCCCUUGAAUUUUUAUACAAAUUUACAUAUAACACUAAGCCUUAACUCAAUAUUAGGCAUAAAUUUCCUCUAGUAGCUAGUUUAGCAUCAAAAAGGGUCACACCUCUUACAUAGUGAUUUGGAACAAGAAAUAAUUAAUAAUUUGCCAAUAGAGACCUCAUAAUUCUAGCACAUAGGUGGUUGGCCCCACACGGCCUAACCUUACAAAUAUCAAUGCAUAUAAGAAAUUUGCCCCACAUGGCAUCAAAAUGUCCGUACCUCUUCCGGAUUCACCGGGCAUCAUCACAAUAUCAACAUAUUCCGCUGAAUUCAUUGAGCAUUAUCAUAAUAUCACACAUUCCUCCGGACUCAAAUCGGGCAUCAUCAUAAUAUCACACAUUCCUUUGGACUCGAACCGGGUAUCAUCAUAAUAUCAUAUAUUUCUCCGGACUCGAACCGGGCAUCAUCAUAAUAUCACAUAUUUCUCCGGACUCAAACCGGACAUCAUCAUAAUAUCACAUAUUUCUCCGGACUCGAACCGGACAUCAUCAUAAUAUCUCAUAUUCCUUCGGAUUAACCGAGCAUCAUCAUAGUAUCAAUAAUUCCUCUGAAUUUAUCGGGCAUCAUCAUUGUAUAAAUAUUUUCCAAGACAACAACAUACACACAUAAAUGGCCCCGAAUCAAUAAACAUACACAAGUUCACAAUAAUCGAGUAAUAGAGAUGUAAGAUGCAUAAACCAUCACACUUUAUUACUAGUUAUCAUCAUGACAUGUGAGUAGAAGCAUAGCAUGAGUAUCUAGAUGACGUACACAAUUACCAUAUUUCCUUGGCUAUCCAUAACACGGCAAUAAGACAACAAUCAAGAAUACACAUUUUUCAACCAUCGACCUUAUUCAUAAACCGACGACCGGGUUUAACCCGUAUAAUCUCAAUAACAUAAUUUAGACCCUCAUCAAGUAUCUAGGUUACCAAGGAGUUACAUAGUUCAAGAUUAAGGUGGGUCAAGUCCCACUUCUAACUCCCACUAAUAGUAAAGUCACUUCUACAAGACAAACUUCUAUCCGAAUUUAGGCUAGGUUAUCUAAGUCACACCAUAAGGGCUUAUCAAUCCUUACAAAGCAUAUAGGAGAAAUCUUUUUUAAGUAUUCUUCCUAAGACAACCUAACACCAAGGUCAUCUCUUAUCUAGGCAUUUUAUAUAGGUCAAUACACUCUUAAGGAUAGAGAAGUAUACCAUUCAUGUCUACUUAGACAACUGUAAUGUUCACACACUACUCAUGAGACCACAAUUAAGCUAACCAAGGUCUUAGGCUAAGGGUCAAAUAUCAUACCUUACAAAUCUAUGGCCUAUAGGAAUUAAUAAAUCCCAAGUUUACCAUUUAAUCAACUAUCGUUUGAAUUCCCCGCCCAAUCUCCCAAGAUAUCAAUGAUUACAUUACAAACAAGCUCAAUCUAUACUACGGGUAAGCCUAACCUACCUUGAAUCCAAGCAACUCACGAACCAACGAGCUUUCCUUUUCUUUCCGAGAAGCUUCCUCUUCCAUAAGCAAUGCUAUCAAUAAUAUAAUGUAAGCAUUACAAUAAGAAUGAAAAUACCCAUUAUAGCAUCAUUAUGCCAUGGGUUUCAAAUAGACACCAAAACCUCAAUUAGGUUUCACCCUUGGAAAGGAAUUUCCAAGACCAACCAUAGACUAAUUAUCUUUAGGGAGUUAAAAACCCUCAAGAAAUUUGAGUCAAACACUUAAUUUUUAGGGAUACAAUUGACCCACAAUGAUUUAGGGUUUUGAGUCAAGAAAUAAUGAAAUUAAUAUCAAAUUAGAGGAAUUCUUACCUUGGAUCUGUAGUAAAAAGAUGGAUUACACAAGUUGUUUAAGUUUCCAAUCAACCCACAAGACCAAUUUUUGAGUCACCACUCUUUUAGGGCUUCUAGGGUUUUAAUAGAGGUGAAGAAUGCUCACAAUCUGUCAAAAGCCCCUUUUUAUAUGGUUUUAGAUGGGUCCGCAAGGUCAAAAUUUACUUUUGACCUUCUGAACUCAUUCGGACUCCUUUUUUCGCAAAUGAACUAUGUAACUCCACUAAAUUCGACAUUCCGGACGCAUUGGUGAAGUCAAAUUUUUCAUACGAGAUCAUUUAGACUACUUGUGGGUCCCACACCUAUAUUUCGAUAUUUGACUUUUUGACUAAUUGGUCGAAAUGAGCUCGGGUGCUAUGGGAUCUGAACCAAGGGUCUAUCUAUCCUAAAAUUGAUCUUACAUAGAUGUUGGCACAGUCGUGAUUUGUAUGCGAAAUUAUUUUACUGAAAUUUUGUUCAGCGGCCGUUUGGAAUCGACGAAGACUUCCAAUUAUGAAAGUGGUUCUAAAAAUCAAACGAACCAUCAGGUAACCGAACUAUCAAUUCUACCAAGUCACUAAUGACUUGGGAUGCCUAUGGAGGAGCUCUAUCGACAAAAUAAGCAAGAAUACAGCUAAUGACCUGAAGGGUCAUUACAACAUCCACUACUAAGGAACUUUCGUCGUCGAAAGUUAAAGAAAAGGAAAUACUUGAAGUCUCGAAUAGUUGAGGAUACUAGGCUCGCAUCUCCCCUCUAACCACUAAGUGGCCUCCUUCACCGGGAGGUGCUUCCAUUGAACCUUAACUACAGGAAUCUCUCUAGUACGCAACCUCCUCACAUUACUAGCAAAAAUAAGUGUGGGCUCCUCUACAAAGGUCAACUGCCCAUCUAACUAGACUGAGUCCACCUAAGCACUUGUGACGGGUUAGGAAUAUAAUUCUGCAGCAUGGAGACAUGGAAAACUGGGUGAACAGUAGCAAAGUAUGGAGGUAAAGCUAACUCAUAGGCCACCUUGCUGACUACACGUAGAAUCUCAAAAAGGACAAAACCGAUAUACACAACAUAUAAAUAGAAUGAAAACUACACCCAAGAGUCCAGAAAUUAUAUAAUGAGUUAAUGAGAAUAAUAAGGGAAAACUAUCCUGUUCAUGUCCAAGAGUCUAACAUAAUAAGACUAAGGAAGUAUCAGGGUGAACUAUCUUAUUCCAGCUACAUUCAAUAUAUGUCAAUGUUAUACCAUAUAUCCCAGGUACAUAUACGAAUAAGGAGCGAAAGAAAGAUAUAUAAUAAUACACAAGGCGAAGUAAUGACUAUACAAAAUGAACAAUGAAGGAAGGGAUAUACGAUAGUGCCAUAUCUUCAUAUAGCUAGAUAUAUAUAUAUAAAUAUAUACAUAUAAACAUAAGGUCGUCUCGAAGCAUAACCUCUAUCAUUAUAUUCUCAUUUAAGACCUCAUCAUAACACUUAUCAGAAUUUAAAUACUAUCAUACUUAGGGUUUCUAAUCCACAUGGCUAGACGUGAAAUAAUCAUACAUAAUAAUGCAAUCAUAAAAUAGGAGAGGCUGAAAACGCACCUUAAACUUUAAUACUGGAUCAAUGACCAAUUUAUCAUAAGGUAGCCAUAAUAAUGAUCAUAACAAUGAUAACAACAAUAUCAAUAACAACAUGAAUAACCAGCUACUCCGGACAACCAAAUACCUAGCCGAGCCUAUGCGUACCCUCACCACCCCAGACUCGAAAGUUCUAAUCAACACACAACAAUAUAAGGCAUAUUCUUCACCUGUAUCAAUGCAACCAUCCCAUACCGGCUGAUAAACAUAGGCACAUAUUGGUGAUAGGAGACGCGCAUGAAGGAAUGAAUGCAAGGUAGACGAUUAAUAUUACAACUCAUCAUAAUUAUCCACAUCAGGACCAUCAUCAUCGUAAUCAAUCACCGGCCUUGCUGGGUAUCAACGCAUCAUCCAUAUAUCCUCUGGCCUUGCCGAGUAUGAGUAUCACAAUAGUCAUUAUCGAAUAUCAUACGCUAAAAUACUCAUAAACAUAAUCAUAUUACCAUAGAAUAUCUAUCUAGUCAAUACUUCCCAAUCACUCGUUAUUAGUUAAACAGAACUUAUUAUAAUAGAAUCACUAGUUCUCUAGUCAUCACAUAACUUUUAAUUAUGAUCCCAAACCUUAUCCUUCACAUAAUCCUUAAUUCACAGGAUAACAACUAACCACUAUUUAUUUAACAGUCAACAUCUAAUAUCUAGUCAAGGUUCAUCACUAGACCAAAACCGUCAUUUAUCCACCAUUCAUUAUUAUCAACUACUCAUCCUAUAUCGGUUAAUCAUUACUAGACAACACAUUACUACUUGUCACCCAACCAUCUUUAUCAACAGACAUUAUUCCUUAACUAACCAUCAUUAGUUACUAUGUUUGAACUAAGCAAGAUUCAUUAACUAAUACAUUGGAUUCUUAACCAUCAAGUGCUAUAAUCCCCUAAUAGACAACUAGUUACCGCAUAGCUUAACCGUCUAACAAGAAGAGCAGUCAUAAGAUCACAUUUCAGCUAUAAUCACAUCAGUUAUAAUGGUAAAUAAUCAUGAACGUGCCAAAUCUAUGCAUGCCAUUAUCAGUAUUCUGUCACAGAAGGCUUCAUAGAUUAAGAGUUAUACUCACCUAAAAUAUUAAAAUAAAUAUUAAGAAUUAUCAAGGUGUUACAUAUUCAAUUAGUGGAAUAAAAAAAAAGUCAUGUUGCAUCUUCCUUCGUCCCAUACCGGAGAGAUGAGUAUACACACAUAUAUAUAUUUAUAUUCAUAAACUGUAAUCAUAUUGUUUAUAAUGAUAAACACUUCUCGACUAUACGAUCAAUAUCAUAACAUGUCCCUUGGCCCAUUAAUCUAUCCAAAAUAAUCACAAAAUCAUAAUCAUGGUUUUAUGCCGAUACACACAUCCAAAACUCAUAUCAAUAAUCAUAUUUAUAAGUCGUAGCAUAUCCCUAAACAUCUCCUAUAUAUGAGACAUCUUACAUAUAGGAGGCAUAAUACAGAUAGACAUGUAAUUGUCUACAGGAUAUCAUAUAUCAAUAGCUCAUACAUCAUGACAAUGGGGAAUAUCACUUCUCUAGGCCAAUUUACAUAUUCAAGAGGAACAUAGUCUUUAUAGGACCAACAAUCAUGACUAAGGAAAUAGCAACUCUAUAGGCCAAUCAUCAAGUCUAAGAAGAGAUAACAUCUACGUAGGCCAAUCAUCAAGUCUAAGAGGAAAUGACAACUCUAUAGGACAAUCAUCAAGUCUAAGAGGAAAUAACAUCUCUAUAGUCCAAUCACUUCCACAAGGAGUAUCAUAACCAUAAAUCAAAGCCACAAUUCGGGAACAUCAAUACUAGUUACCAAGUAACCUUAUUCUAAGGUUUACUAGCCUCAUCUAUGUCUAACAUCCACAACUAAGUCCACAAGACUUAACACAAGCUUAGACCUAAGUGGAUCUAACGAUCUCACUUCUAAUCCACAAUUUUCAUAAUUAGGCAUACUAUACCCCAAACUAGGUUAAGGUAUCUAGUUCAUCUUCUAGAUAUCAAGUAAGUCAUAUUCAAGCCUAAGAUAGCAACUUUGACUAGAAAAAAGGGCACUCAAGUUAACUCUACCCAACUUACGGUUUCAAGACUACCACACUAGCCCAAUAAGAUCAAAUAUUCAAAUCAUGUUGGAACAACACUAAAACCACAUCUAUAAUCUAGAAAUGUAUCAAAUACAUGCUACAAUUUAAUCUAAACUAGGGAGAAGGCAAUAUGAGUCUACAAGGUUAUAAACAUACUAUCUUACGGGUCCAAGACCCUCAUCUAACUUCCCAAAACAUCAAUAAUCAAGGCAAAGCUAUAUUACUCAUAAUCAAUCCUAACAUCCAUAUUCACACGCAACAUAUAUCACACAUCAUCUAUGCAGAAAAGUAGACAGAAGCCUACCUCAAGGACAAACCGCAAAACCUCACUUUAUGCACCACAUGCUCAUCUUCACUUUACAAUCCUAAAAAUAUCGUCACACUAUCAGAAUAAUAAUCUACCCAUUAAUACGAUUCUAAUGAUACCCAUAUUUCACUAUUGUGCUCUGAGUCCCAAAACGACACUAAAACCCCAAGUGGAUCCCACAUAUGAAAAACUCUGAAGCCAACCCAAUGUUCAUAUGUGAACAAGGAAUCAUAAUCCUCAAAUAAUGGGUAAAAAGUAAGCAUACCUUGGGCUAAAAUCAAGCCCUAAGUUAAAUAGGGAUUUUGGGACCAAAUGAAGAAAUUCAAGCAUGAAUUCAAGAAAUUUUUACCUUGAUCUUGAAGAUAAUUGUGAUACAAGAUGAUAACUAAGCUCCCAAGUCACCCCCCAUGACCAAUUUUGAGUAAUUGAAAAGAUACUACAAACCAACUCAAACUCUUAGCACGAUACGAAUGAAAAAAUGAAGGAUUCCUAAGAAUGUCACAUAGCCUCCCGAAGAUAGGAAACGAACGUCAAAGUUUCGAUCUGUAAGACUCUAUUAGACAUUUGCUCUUGUAUCAAUAAUAUCAGUGAAACCUAGGAUCUGAUACCAAUUUGUCACGACCCAAUUUCUGAGUCAUGAUGGCACCUACCACAUCCCACCGGUAAGUAAGCCGAUACCAUAAUCUGGAGCUAUUACAAUGGGUUAACUUGGUAAGAACAUCCAACUUGGACCCUAUAUGUGAACACAACAUAUAGCAAUAACAUUUCACAACUAAGGACAAUCGAUAUUUAAACACAAAUUCCACGACCUGAUAGUAUUAAUACAAGAGCUUCUAAACUUGACAAGAGGACUUUACAAUCUCAGAAUCUAAAAUGCCUAAAACAACCUCAUACAUUUGUCUCGAAAGCAAAAGACAAAUAAGGAUAGAAGGGAUAGAGGGCAACUCGAUCCCCAAGAGCUCACCCUGUCUCUGAAUAGUCAACUCAUACGAACUAGCUCAACGGCGGCAACUAGAACCUAGGCCUGUACCAAAAAUGUACAGAAGUGUAGUAUGAGUACCAAAACACUGGUACUCAGUAGGCAUCAUCGGCCGACUGAGCUCAAAUAUAAUGUAAAGACGAUAUAAAGAAAGACAAUGAUCUUAAAGUCAAGGGAUAGGGUCGUACCUGAAUCUACUUUGAUACCACUGUAACAAUAUCUAUACUAUUAAAGCAAUAACAAGACAUACUAUUACAAUAUACUCCAUAAUCACCAUAACAACUGAGUAUUAUUUCGAAAGCAUACAACCAUAUACACAAUAGCAAAACAUCUACUUGUCAUAAUCAUCAUCAACAAUCUUUAGAACAUACACACAAAAACUUACCACGACAUCCCAUACCACCGGGAAGUAGACGAAAAAGAGCAAAACAAAGAAAUUGUCACGGCGUCCCAUACCACCGGAGAGUACAUAAAAGAAUACAGCUAACAAUACCAUAAAGCACAACUACUUCAUCAAUUUAUCAAAAACUGCGGGCAACACAACCCCGCCAUGACUCAUUACCAAAAUCCACUUCUAAGUACCCAUACCAUAAUUCAACAUAAAUAAAACAACAUUGUCAUAGCAUAGCAUCUAAUCAUUAGUUCUAUAAUUCAUUGAUAAAUACCGCAUGGUCCAUACUAAUUAACCUUAUUUUUUUCAAAAGUCAAAAGAUUACAAGUCUUAAAAUCACUAGUCAUCAAACUGGGGAAAAAAAACUACGAACCACCCACAGUAUAGGUUAUUCAACUAUC
This 8404-nucleotide long non-coding RNA is filed under the name Capsicum annuum. Its description in RNAcentral is "long non-coding RNA (CANN_LNC016356)". The record is from RNAcentral. Lineage: Eukaryota; Viridiplantae; Streptophyta; Magnoliopsida; Solanales; Solanaceae.